Non-coding RNA from Pelobates cultripes (western spadefoot toad), 238 nucleotides. The record is from the annotation of a GenBank genome assembly. Lineage: Eukaryota; Metazoa; Chordata; Amphibia; Anura; Pelobatidae.
CAAAGCUCUAUAGGUAUUUGAGUCUGUUUAUGAUCUUAUGACACUAUAUCAUACCUAGUGUGUGAUGUGGUAUGUAAGUUCUAGUGUUUGAGUACUGCAUUUGUAGUGUAACUUAGGUUGAGUACUUCUUGGGCGCAGGCAUUUUGGUUGUGUCCUUACAAUUUCUCAGAGAACCACUGGAGCAUGCCCAUUGGUGGACCGUCUGGCUGAAAUACAGGAAGCAGGGCAAGUGACAUGC